AAUAGAUACCCCGGUAGUCCUGGCCGUAAACGAUGACCACUAGAUGCGGGAGGUAUCGACCCCUUCCGUGUCGCAGCUCACGCGCUAAGUGGUCCGCCUGGGGAGUACGGUCACAAGACUAAAACUCAAAGGAAUUGACGGGGACCCGCACAAGCAGCGGAGCGUGUGGUUUAAUUCGAAGCAACGCGAAGCACCUUACCAGGGCUUGACAUGCUCCUGCACCAGCGGUAAUGCGCUGUCUCCUUCGGGGGCGGGAGCACAGGUGCUGCAUGGCUGUCGUCAGCUCGUGUCGUGAGAUGUUGGGUUAAGUCCCGCAACGAGCGCAACCCACGUUUUUAGUUGCCAUCAUUUAGUUGGGCACUCUAGAGAGACUGCCGGUGACAAACCGGAGGAAGGUGUGGAUGACGUCAAGUCAGCAUGCCCCUUACGUUCUGGGCUACACACGUACUACAAUGCUACGGACAGAGGGUUGCAAGCUCGCGAGAGCAAGCUAAUCCCGUAAACCGUGGCUCAGUUCAG
Molecule: ribosomal RNA, 519 nt
Filed under: uncultured bacterium
Lineage: Bacteria
Description: bacterial SSU rRNA
Rfam family: Bacterial small subunit ribosomal RNA
Source: RNAcentral